This 208-nucleotide ribosomal RNA is filed under the name uncultured bacterium. Its description in RNAcentral is "partial 16S ribosomal RNA". It matches the Rfam family "Bacterial small subunit ribosomal RNA", at positions 524 to 731 of the family's 1533-position model. The record is from RNAcentral.
UACGAAGGGGGCUAGCGUUGCUCGGAAUCACUGGGCGUAAAGGGUGCGUAGGCGGGUCUUUAAGUCAGGGGUGAAAUCCUGGAGCUCAACUCCAGAACUGCCUUUGAUACUGAGGAUCUUGAGUUCGGGAGAGGUGAGUGGAACUGCGAGUGUAGAGGUGAAAUUCGUAGAUAUUCGCAAGAACACCAGUGGCGAAGGCGACUCACUG